This 504-nucleotide ribosomal RNA is filed under the name uncultured bacterium. RNAcentral describes it as "partial 16S ribosomal RNA". It matches the Rfam family "Bacterial small subunit ribosomal RNA", at positions 29 to 523 of the family's 1533-position model. The record is from RNAcentral.
AUUGAACGCUGGCGGCAGGCCUAACACAUGCAAGUCGAACGGUAGCACAGAGAGCUUGCUCUCGGGUGACGAGUGGCGGACGGGUGAGUAAUGUCUGGGAAACUGCCCGGUGGAGGGGGAUAACUACUGGAAACGGUAGCUAAUACCGCACAACGUCGCAAGACCAAAGUGGGGGACCUUCGGGCCUCACACCAGCGGAUGUGCCCAGAUGGGAUUAGCUAGUAGGUGGGGUAAUGGCUCACCUAGGCGACGAUCCCUAGCUGGUCUGAGAGGAUGACCAGCCACACUGGAACUGAGACACGGUCCAGACUCCUACGGGAGGCAGCAGUGGGGAAUAUUGCACAAUGGGCGCAAGCCUGAUGCAGCCAUGCCGCGUGUAUGAAGAAGGCCUUCGGGUUGUAAAGUACUUUCAGCGGGGAGGAAGGCGGUGAAGUUAAUAGCUUCACCGAUUGACGUUACCCGCAGAAGAAGCACCGGCUAACUCCGUGCCAGCCGCCGCGGUAA